Molecule: ribosomal RNA, 522 nt
Filed under: uncultured Glomeraceae
Lineage: Eukaryota; Fungi; Glomeromycota; Glomeromycetes; Glomerales; Glomeraceae
Description: SSU rRNA
Rfam family: Eukaryotic small subunit ribosomal RNA
Source: RNAcentral
AGCAGCCGCGGUAAUUCCAGCUCCAAUAGCGUAUAUUAAAGUUGUUGCAGUUAAAAAGCUCGUAGUUGAAUUUCGGGAUCAAUUAAUUGGUCGUGCCUCUGGUACGUACUGAUUUUAUUGGUUUCUCCCUUCUGACGAACCAUGAUGUCAUUAAUUUGGUGUCGUGGAGAAUCAGGACUGUUACUUUGAAAAAAUUAGAGUGUUUAAAGCAAGCUAACGCUUGAAUACAUUAGCAUGGAAUAAUGAAAUAGGACGUUUGAUCCUAUUUUGUUGGUUUCUAGGAUUGACGUAAUGAUUAAUAGGGAUAGUUGGGGGCAUUAGUAUUCAAUUGUCAGAGGUGAAAUUCUUGGAUUUAUUGAAGACUAACUACUGCGAAAGCAUUUGCCAAGGAUGUUUUCAUUAAUCAAGAACGAAAGUUAGGGGAUCGAAGACGAUCAGAUACCGUCGUAGUCUUAACCAUAAACUAUGCCGACUAGGGAUCGGAUGAUGUUAAUUUUUUAAUGACUCAUUCGGCGCCUUACG